AACGCUAGCUACAGGCUUAACACAUGCAAGUCGAGGGGCAGCAUGGAACUUAGCUUGCUAAGUUCUGAUGGCGACCGGCGCACGGGUGAGUAACGCGUAUCCAACCUGCCCACCACUUGGGGAUAACCUUGCGAAAGUAAGACUAAUACCCAAUGAUAUCUCUAGAAGACAUCUGAAAGAGAUUAAAGAUUUAUCGGUGAUGGAUGGGGAUGCGUCUGAUUAGCUUGUUGGCGGGGUAACGGCCCACCAAGGCGACGAUCAGUAGGGGUUCUGAGAGGAAGGUCCCCCACAUUGGAACUGAGACACGGUCCAAACUCCUACGGGAGGCAGCAGUGAGGAAUAUUGGUCAAUGGGCGAGAGCCUGAACCAGCCAAGUAGCGUGCAGGAUGACGGCCCUAUGGGUUGUAAACUGCUUUUAUACAGGAAUAAAGUUAGCCACGUGUGGCUAUUUGUAGGUACUGUAUGAAUAAGGACCGGCUAAUUCCGUGCCAGCAGCCGCGGUAAUACGGAAGGUCCAGGCGUUAUCCGGAUUUAUUGGGUUUAAAGGGAGCGUAGGCCGUCUGUUAAGCGUGUUGUGAAAUGUAGAUGCUCAACAUCUGAAUUGCAGCGCGAACUGGCAGACUUGAGUGUGCGCAACGUAGGCGGAAUUCGUGGUGUAGCGGUGAAAUGCUUAGAUAUCACGAAGAACUCCGAUUG
Molecule: ribosomal RNA, 696 nt
Filed under: uncultured bacterium
Lineage: Bacteria
Description: bacterial SSU rRNA
Rfam family: Bacterial small subunit ribosomal RNA
Source: RNAcentral